UGGUGGAUAUUGCACAAUGGGCGAAAGCCUGAUGCAGCGACGCCGCGUGGGGGAUGAAGGCCUUCGGGUUGUAAACUUCUUUUGCUCUGAACAAGGCAUGCCUUUGGGGUGUGUUGAGUGUAGGGGUUGAUUAGCGCCGGCUAACUACGUGCCAGCAGCCGCGGUAAUACGUAGGGCGCGAGCGUUGUCCGGAAUUAUUGGGCGUAAAGGGCUUGUAGGUGGCUGGUUGCGUCUGUCGUGAAAGCUCAUGGCUUAACUGUGGGUUUGCGGUGGGUACGGGCUGGCUUGAGUGCAGUAGGGGAGGCUGGAAUUCCUGGUGUAGCGGUGGAAUGCGCAGAUAUCAGGAGGAAUACCGGUGGCGAAGGCGGGUCUCUGGGCUGUUACUGACGCUGAGGAGCGAAAGCGUGGGGAGCGAACAGG
This 420-nucleotide ribosomal RNA is filed under the name Fusobacteriota bacterium. RNAcentral's name for it is "Fusobacteria bacterium partial 16S ribosomal RNA". It matches the Rfam family "Bacterial small subunit ribosomal RNA", at positions 355 to 776 of the family's 1533-position model. Lineage: Bacteria; Fusobacteriati; Fusobacteriota. The record is from RNAcentral.